GUCCUUCUUUUGGGAAAGAUUGUUGCUUGGUACAUGGUAAGAUCAUUUGUUUGCUUUCAAUCCUAGAAGAUAUAAUGUCUCUGCAUAUUCAAAUUUCUUCAUGGUCAGUUGGGAACUUUCUUGAUUUAAAAUAGAGAUUCGACUAAGAUUUGUUUUUUUUUUUUAUUAUAGGAGAAGCUCCAGGAGAUGUUAACUAUUUUAAGGAGAAAGAAGUAUUAAAAAAAAUAUCCUGAAUUGUGAGUAAGUGAGAGAGGCACUCUGCAAUUUCCAGGGACAGGGUCUCAAAGAGGUGUUUAUAUUUGGAUAUGAGAAAAUGCACCAGUUCUUGUUGGAGGAAGGGCAGCUAUGCUUGCAAGAAAUGGACAAAGAAGCAAUAGAAGUCUUGGCAACUGAGAAGAGCAAGGCCAGAUCAUCUCAAAAGAUCCUCAAUCUGCAAAUGAUGCUCAAGGACCAGUGA
RNAcentral lists this long non-coding RNA (457 nucleotides) under Monodelphis domestica (gray short-tailed opossum). Its description in RNAcentral is "lncRNA (ENSMODG00000037129.1)". Lineage: Eukaryota; Metazoa; Chordata; Mammalia; Didelphimorphia; Didelphidae. The record is from RNAcentral.